This is a long non-coding RNA of Carcharodon carcharias (great white shark), 819 nucleotides long. RefSeq lists it as uncharacterized. Lineage: Eukaryota; Metazoa; Chordata; Chondrichthyes; Lamniformes; Lamnidae. The transcript has 2 exons. The record is from RefSeq and is a predicted model, not a curated record.
ACCAGGGAGGCAACACACCACGUGGGACUCUCAAUGAUGGCUACACAAAUGCCUAGACAGAUUUACAAAUUACAUUACACAAAUUACAUAAAUUCUAGCCUAGACAAAUUCCUCCCCUCACUAUGGAAUCUACUAUAACAACUGUAUUUCUACUCUUUGCUUUUCUGUCCUGGACAGUCCCUUGCCCCAUUGGUGCCAUGGUCUGAAUUGCACUCCUCCAAGGUGUCAUCACUCCCAGAAGUUUCUCAUAACAAAUUACUCUUUGAGAAAGAUUUCAGAUCUGGGAAAAUACAUCAUUUGAUCAAGACCAAGGAGAAGAAGAGGGAGUUAUGUCACAUGACCUCAUCCAAGUUGCUAGAAUCCAUAAUAUUGCUGUGUGGAACUGAACCCAAGCAGUCUUCCAUUUUACCACCUAACAUGUUGCAGCAAACAAAGCUCUGCUCAGGUGAAAUGCCUGAUCCUCAUCUACACUGUGAACAACUGAAACAGUGGAACUCCUGUUUCUGUGCCUUCAAGACUAAUUCACCUCCACGUGUCUCAUCCCAUCGUGGAAGUCCUCGCUUCUAGAAAGUCGGAUCACCCUGUAACAGUUUCAGCCUGCUAACCUCUGAAGGAAUAUGCCACUGGACUUUUGACUCUGGACUCUGGACUCACAUGAAGCCAUAACUCUUAUUUUUAUCGUGGCCUUGCCCUGUACCCUUUUCUUUCCCUUAUCCCUCAUUUAUUGUAUGAGUAAAAAAAGGGGGCAGAUGUUGCAAAACCUCAUUCCCAAGUUUUGUGUGUUUGUGUAAAUUAAACCAGCCCACUUACUUUUCCUUA